RNAcentral lists this long non-coding RNA (2863 nucleotides) under Fukomys damarensis (Damara mole-rat). Its description in RNAcentral is "lncRNA (ENSFDAG00000030147.1)". The record is from RNAcentral. Lineage: Eukaryota; Metazoa; Chordata; Mammalia; Rodentia; Bathyergidae.
CUGACGAGGGCACAGUGAUUUACAGGCCAAGGCUGCUAGCUGACCUUGUCCCCAGCAGAGACGCUUCCACAAGCUUGUCUUCCAAGAGAUGAUUCGCCGUUUGUGCUGCUUGGACUUGGCGUGCUUCUCCGAUUCCUUUAACCAAAGAGGAAACGGGAAGCCUGAAGUAAGCGCCUGUGUCCUAAGGAGAAGGGUGGAGGCGGGCUUGUGCCUCAGUGGGGAGAUUGCCUGGGUCUGGCUCUGUAAGGAUAAUGGGGGUUUCUGCUCGCGCUUUCCCCUCCGAAAGCCCUUCCCAUUCCGACGUCUCUGUGAGCCAGGUCGAGGAGACCCUGGAAGAGGCAGCACACGCUGGGUGAGGAGGUGGCACGGUCAGGGCUGUGCUAGGGAGUGGCAGAGCCCGCCCAGAGCCGGGCUGGGCUUCUCGUCUGCUUGUCUGUCCACCACCCCAAACCCAGUGUGGGCAGGAGGGCGGAGGAGCGCAGGGCCUGUGCUGACCUGCCUGGACUCAGGAGGUGCCGAGGGGAGAAGCAGCUGCAAGGCCGGUGAUGGAUGUCCACGGCUAACGGAAAUGCCGGAGACCUGUUUUAGGAGAGAUGUCAAUUAGAGCCAUCUGCACGGUGCAUAAAGGAGCCCUACCCCAGCUGUACUGUUGAAACAUGUUAGCGUGUUCCUACCAGCGGCCAUGUGGUACUUAACGAAAGUGAAUUGUUCACACUGCACAGCCCGCGCCUCCUGAUGAAUACUAGUAUUUUGUUUGGGAAAAUAGUUCUUCUGUCAUGUGGAAUAUUUUUCAAUGCAGCACGCAGCAAGUUGGAAGCCAAUGCGCCCUAGAAUGCAGACUCCUCGCCACCUCACGAUGCCCACCUUCAGCCCACUGCCGCCCGCCCCACCUGGCGGCAUACCACACCUGGCCACGGUUCUUAGCAUCUGUCUGAAUCAGCUCUGAAGCAGGGGCCGGAGAGGGUUCUCACCCCACCCUCAACUUCUCUCCUUGCAGGAAAACCAAAACUGUGCCAAGUAAGGGCACUGGGCUUCAUCUAGAAGAAGGAGUUCCCUUGGGGUGUGGUCCUUGUAAGAAGUUCAUAAGCCUGAUGAGGAGGCGCACACCUGUGGCCCUCAGAGGCUGAGGCAGGAGGGUGACAAGUUUGAGGCUCUGGACUACAGCAGCUUUCAGAGUAACCUGGAAUACACAGUGAGAUGCUGCCUAAGGUGGGGCGAGUGCAGUUGGCAAGCAGAGCCCUGGAUGCUUAGCAAGGUAUAGUGGGGCUAGGACUGUUUCUGGGGCCCCACAGAAGCCUGAUCGGAAGCCUCUCUCCUCACCAGUGAAAGCAAAUCUUGAGUCAGUAGUGACCAGAAGUCCUUGCCACACAGGGGCCAGAUGGCAGGACCUGGGCACAGCUGCCCAUGGGCUCAACAGCUGAGCGCAGGUAUGUUGGGCACCUGUUGCUUUGGAUGCUCCGAAACUGGCCAGGGCCAGACUCAGGCCUUCCUGUGCAGAGGAUCAAGGGCCCCGCCUUGCAGUCGUGGAGGAGCUGGCAGCUGUGCUCUGGCAGGGGCACCCUGAACUCUGCUGGGCUCUGUGGCCUCAGUGCGCUGACAGCCCUCCGGUCAGGGCCACCAGGAGGGAGCUGUUUUAUUGCAGCCUGUUCUAGGAUCAACAGGAUUUUACUCACUGGCAAUAACUGUUCCGGAACUUUCCCUAGAACCAGAGUCACUUAUUAAAGCUUAAUAAAAGGCAAGAUUGACUGCAGCUGGUGACGGAGAAGACCUGCCUCAGUCCUGAUAACCGACACAUUCUUCACAACACUGCAAUCCCAUAAAUCUCACUUAUUUCCACUUCUGCAAGCAACUGAUCCCGAGUUACAGUAAUGAUCCUAAGUUCAGCUGAACAUGUUCUUAAAGGAAAUCCUUCUGGGUGAAAAAUAGCUGGUAGGUGCUCGUACCUGUCCCUUGUCUGCAGGCUGUGCCAUUCGAUUCCACCUCUGGGCCCUGGUGUUUGCCCCAACCCGUAACAGAUGAGGGUCUGGAAGGACCAAGUCGCAGCGAGCCCCCAGUGGCACCUCGGCAGGGGGAUGACGGCUCAUGGCAGCUCUGCUGCCCAGGCAUCUCUAGUAAUCAGUGGCCUUCCCCGGCAACCAGGCCAGGAUGGCCACAGACCGGAAUCUCGGUUUCACUUUCUUUUCAGGCAGAGCACUUCUUUAAAGAGGGAUCCACAGGGUGACCAGUCUACGGGAUUAUCUUAAUUUGGAACUGAGGCUGCAGUGCUGGGGAGCCCACAGCACUAGAGUGUGUGUUUACAGGGUUGGGGUGUGGGUGUCAGCCAGAGCAGACAAACCCCCAGUGUCGCCCACCCAGCCCUGCUCAAUGAGAAGGGAUGAGGCAGAAAGUCUGCUGGCCGCAGGCCUCUGCAAGCCCAGGAGUGCUGGCCUGGCUCCAGCCACCAGCUGCACAGAGGUGAACUUUGGUGGAGGAGGGAGGCAGCCCCGCAGCUGUGUGUGCAGAGAGGAGGGGCCCGGGGAGCCAGGGGAGCUCAGAGAGCCCUCGGAGAGGUGUUCCAGGUGCCGCGUGACGGGUCUUUGGGCAGCUCAGGAAGUUUCCUGCCAACACAGCGAGCAGCUCUCAGUCCUCCCUGCAUGGAAAGGAGUGUGGAGACAGGAAAUCAAGCUUGGGUGUCCAAAGGCAGUAAAGAAACCGUGCGUGCAUGGAGGGGGCAUGUGAGAGGGUGCACAGGGUGGCGCAGAUCUGUGCAUGACUUGGGCUGUGGCUCCAACAGGCAGCCGUUCCUGGGGCUAGGAGCCAAGGUCGGGCCUGGGGGUGUCUGCCUUUCUGAAAGCUUCUUUCAAGGCAGGAGGAAAAUGAAGGC